CAAAAUGCACAGGCUGUGAACUCGAAGAGUAGGGCGGGACACGUGGUAUCCUGUCUGAAUAUGGGGGGACCAUCCUCCAAGGCUAAAUACUCCUGACUGACCGAUAGUGAACCAGUACCGUGAGGGAAAGGCGAAAAGAACCCCGGCGAGGGGAGUGAAAAAGAACCUGAAACCGUGUACGUACAAGCAGUGGGAGCACCUUCGGGUGUGACUGCGUACCUUUUGUAUAAUGGGUCAGCGACUUAUAUUCUGUAGCAAGGUUAACCGUAUAGGGGAGCCGCAGGGAAACCGAGUCUUAACUGGGCGUUAAGUUGCAGGGUAUAGACCCGAAACCCGGUGAUCUAGCCAUGGGCAGGUUGAAGGUUGGGUAACACUAACUGGAGGACCGAACCGACUAAUGUUGAAAAAUUAGCGGAUGACUUGUGGCUGGGGGUGAAAGGCCAAUCAAACCGGGAGAUAGCUGGUUCUCCCCGAAAGCU
This 479-nucleotide ribosomal RNA is filed under the name Klebsiella pneumoniae. RNAcentral's name for it is "partial 23S ribosomal RNA". It matches the Rfam family "Bacterial large subunit ribosomal RNA", at positions 380 to 867 of the family's 2925-position model. Lineage: Bacteria; Pseudomonadati; Pseudomonadota; Gammaproteobacteria; Enterobacterales; Enterobacteriaceae. The record is from RNAcentral. RNAcentral also lists the same sequence under 1 other name.